Molecule: ribosomal RNA, 254 nt
Filed under: uncultured bacterium
Lineage: Bacteria
Description: partial 16S ribosomal RNA
Rfam family: Bacterial small subunit ribosomal RNA
Source: RNAcentral
UACGGAGGGAGCUAGCGUUGUUCGGAAUUACUGGGCGUAAAGCGCACGUAGGCGGCUUUGUAAGUUAGAGGUGAAAGCCUGGGGCUCAACCCCAGAAUUGCCUUUAAGACUGCAUCGCUUGAAUCCAGGAGAGGUGAGUGGAAUUCCGGGUGUAGCGGUGGAAUGCGUAGAGAUCCGGAAGAACACCGGUGGCGAAGGCGGUCUGCUGGGCAGUUGCUGGACACUGAGGCGCGACAGCGUGGGGAGCAAACAGG